This 404-nucleotide ribosomal RNA is filed under the name uncultured bacterium. RNAcentral's name for it is "bacterial SSU rRNA". It matches the Rfam family "Bacterial small subunit ribosomal RNA", at positions 355 to 775 of the family's 1533-position model. The record is from RNAcentral.
CAAGGAAUAUUGUGCAAUGGGCGAAAGCCUGACACAGCGACACCGCGUGAGGGAAGAAGGCCUUCGGGUUGUAAACCUCUUUUUUCAGGGAGGAGUAAGGACAGUACCUGAGGAAUAAGCCACGGCUAACUACGUGCCAGCAGCUGCGGUAAAACGUAGGUGGCGAGCGUUAUCCGGAUUUAUUGGGCGUAAAGAGGGCGCAGGCGGCAUGGUAAGUCGAAUGUGAAAUCUCCUGGCUUAACUGGGAGGCGUCGUUCGAUACUAUCAAGCUUGAGUGCGACAGGGGGGGGUAGAAUUCCCGGUGUAGUGGUGAAAUGCGUAGAUAUCGGGAGGAAUACCAGUGGCGAAGGCGGCCUCCUGGGUCGUUACUGACGCUUAAGCCCGAAAGCGUGGGGAGCAAACAG